ACUGCUGGAAACGGCAGCUAAGACCGGAUGUGCCCUUGGGUGAAAUAUUCAUAGCCAAAAGAGGAGCUCGCGACCGAUUAGCUAGUUGGUGGGGUAAGAGCCUACCAAGGCUGCGAUCGGUAGCCGGUUUGAGAGGACGACCGGCCACACUGGGACUGAGACACGGCCCAGACUCCUACGGGAGGCAGCAGUGGGGAAUUUUCCGCAAUGGGCGAAAGCCUGACGGAGCAAUACCGCGUGAGGGAGGAAGGCUCUUGGGUCGUAAACCUCUUUUCUCAGGGAAGAAGCAAUGACGGUACCUGAGGAAUCAGCAUCGGCUAACUCCGUGCCAGCAGCCGCGGUAAUACGGAGGAUGCAAGCGUUAUCCGGAAUGAUUGGGCGUAAAGCGUCCGCAGGUGGCACAUCAAGUCUGCUGUCAAAGCCCCCAGCUUAACUGGGAAGAGGCGGUGGAAACUGGUGAGCUAGAGAGCAAUAGGGGUAGAGGGAAUUCCCGGUGUAGCGGUGAAAUGCGUAGAGAUCGGGAAGAACACCAGUGGCGAAAGCGCUCUACUAGGUUGCAACUGACACUGAGGGACGAAGCAUAG
RNAcentral lists this ribosomal RNA (584 nucleotides) under Chroococcidiopsis thermalis C124. Its description in RNAcentral is "bacterial SSU rRNA". It matches the Rfam family "Bacterial small subunit ribosomal RNA", at positions 146 to 764 of the family's 1533-position model. The record is from RNAcentral. Lineage: Bacteria; Bacillati; Cyanobacteriota; Cyanophyceae; Chroococcidiopsidales; Chroococcidiopsidaceae.